UUUUAUUUAGUUGGUUAAUUUAUUGUCAUAAUGAAAAGACGAGUUUUUUUUUUUUUUUUUAAUGAUGAAUCUUCAUACAUCCUCAUUCACCUUGUUUCCUGUAUUCACAGUAACCAUCAGAGUAACUGUCUGCUGUUUGAACCUCAGUUAAAUAUUAUUGGAAAAAAAAUGGAACUACAUUCUGGUGGAGUGAAGAAAAUUAAUAAAGUUAAGGACAGAAAAUAUAAUGAAAAACUCUCACAAGUCUUUGAGGCUGCACCCAACACCUGA
This 270-nucleotide long non-coding RNA is filed under the name Anser brachyrhynchus (Pink-footed goose). Its description in RNAcentral is "lncRNA (ENSABRG00000004418.1)". The record is from RNAcentral. Lineage: Eukaryota; Metazoa; Chordata; Aves; Anseriformes; Anatidae.